RNAcentral lists this ribosomal RNA (253 nucleotides) under uncultured bacterium. RNAcentral's name for it is "partial 16S ribosomal RNA". It matches the Rfam family "Bacterial small subunit ribosomal RNA", at positions 524 to 776 of the family's 1533-position model. The record is from RNAcentral.
CACGUAGGGGGCAAGCGUUGUCCGGAUUUACUGGGCGUAAAGAGCGCGCAGGCGGUCGGAUAAGUCGAAUGUGAAAGCCCCCGGCUCAACUGGGGAGGGUCAUUCGAUACUGUUCGACUCGAAGGCAGGAGAGGGAAGUGGAAUUCCCGGUGUAGUGGUGAAAUGCGUAGAUAUCGGGAGGAACACCAGUGGCGAAGGCGACUUCCUGGCCUGUUCUUGACGCUGAGGCGCGAAAGCUAGGGGAGCAAACGGG